AGUGAAGCGGCAACAGCUCAAAUUUGAAAUCUGGCCCCUCCGGGUCCGAGUUGUAAUUUGUAGAGGAUGCUUUUGGUGAGGUGCCGCCCGAGUUCCCUGGAACGGGACGCCGCAUAGGGUGAGAGCCCCGUCUGGCUGGCCACCGAGCCUCUGUAAAGCUCCUUCGACGAGUCGAGUAGUUUGGGAAUGCUGCUCAAAAUGGGAGGUAUAUGUCUUCUAAAGCUAAAUAUUGGCCAGAGACCGAUAGCGCACAAGUAGAGUGAUCGAAAGAUGAAAAGCACCUUGAAAAGAGGGUUAAACAGUACGUGAAAUUGUUGAAAGGGAAGCGCUUGUGACCAGACUUGGGCGCGGCGGAUCAUCCGGGGUUCUCCCCGGUGCACUUCGCCGCGUCCAGGCCAGCAUCAGUUCGUCGCGGGGGAAAAAGGCUUCGGGAACGUGGCUCCUCCGGGAGUGUUAUAGCCCGUUGCAUAAUACCCUGCGGUGGACUGAGGACCGCGCAUCUGCAAGGAUGCUGGCGUAAUGGUCACCAGCGACCCGUCUUGAAACACGGACCAAGGAGUCGUCUUCGUAUGCGAGUGUUCGGGUGUCAUACCCCUACGCGUAAUGAAAGUGAACGCAGGUGAGAGCUUCGGCGCAUCAUCGACCGAUCCUGAUGUUCUCGGAUGGAUU
Molecule: ribosomal RNA, 669 nt
Filed under: Trichoderma sp.
Lineage: Eukaryota; Fungi; Ascomycota; Sordariomycetes; Hypocreales; Hypocreaceae
Description: partial large subunit ribosomal RNA
Rfam family: Eukaryotic large subunit ribosomal RNA
Source: RNAcentral